This 434-nucleotide ribosomal RNA is filed under the name uncultured Clostridium sp. RNAcentral's name for it is "partial 16S ribosomal RNA". It matches the Rfam family "Bacterial small subunit ribosomal RNA", at positions 341 to 792 of the family's 1533-position model. Lineage: Bacteria; Bacillati; Bacillota; Clostridia; Eubacteriales; Clostridiaceae. The record is from RNAcentral.
ACGGGAGGCAGCAGUGGGGAAUAUUGCACAAUGGGGGAAACCCUGAUGCAGCGACGCCGCGUGAGUGAAGAAGUAUUUCGGUAUGUAAAGCUCUAUCAGCAGGGACGAAAAUGACGGUACCUGACUAAGAAGCCCCGGCUAACUACGUGCCAGCAGCCGCGGUAAUACGUAGGGGGCAAGCGUUAUCCGGAUUUACUGGGUGUAAAGGGAGCGUAGACGGUUCGGCAAGUCUGAUGUGAAAUCCCAGGGCUCAACUCUGGGACUGCAUUGGAAACUGUUGAACUAGAGUGCAGGAGAGGUAAGUGGAAUUCCUAGUGUAGCGGUGAAAUGCGUAGAUAUUAGGAGGAACAUCAGUGGCGAAGGCGGCUUACUGGACUGUAACUGACGUUGAGGCUCGAAAGCGUGGGGAGCGAACAGGAUUAGAUACCCUGGUA